AACUUAGCUUGCUAAGUUUGAUGGCGACCGGCGCACGGGUGAGUAACACGUAUCCAACCUGCCGAUGACUCGGGGAUAGCCUUUCNAAAGAAAGAUUAAUACCCGAUGGCAUAAUUCUUCCGCAUGGUAGAAUUAUUAAAGAAUUUCGGUCAUCGAUGGGGAUGCGUUCCAUUAGGUUGUUGGCGGGGUAACGGCCCACCAAGCCUUCGAUGGAUAGGGGUUCUGAGAGGAAGGUCCCCCACAUUGGAACUGAGACACGGUCCAAACUCCUACGGGAGGCAGCAGUGAGGAAUAUUGGUCAAUGGACGAGAGUCUGAACCAGCCAAGUAGCGUGAAGGAUGACUGCCCUAUGGGUUGUAAACUUCUUUUAUACGGGAAUAAAGUGAGGCACGUGUGCCUUUUUGUAUGUACCGUAUGAAUAAGGAUCGGCUAACUCCGUGCCAGCAGCCGCGGUAAUACGGAGGAUCCGAGCGUUAUCCGGAUUUAUUGGGUUUAAAGGGAGCGUAGGCGGACGCUUAAGUCAGUUGUGAAAGUUUGCGGCUCAACCGUAAAAUUGCAGUUGAUACUGGGUGUCUUGAGUACAGUAGAGGCAGGCGGAAUUCGUGGUGUAGCGGUGAAAUGCUUAGAUAUCACGAAGAACUCCGAUUGCGAAGGCAGCCUGCUGGACUGUAACUGACGCUGAUGCUCGAAAGUGUGGGUAUCA
Molecule: ribosomal RNA, 703 nt
Filed under: uncultured bacterium
Lineage: Bacteria
Description: bacterial SSU rRNA
Rfam family: Bacterial small subunit ribosomal RNA
Source: RNAcentral